ACUCCUGCGGGAGGCAGCAGUGAGGAAUAUUGGACAAUGGGUGGAAGCCUGAUCCAGCCAUCCCGCGUGCAGGAAGACGGCCCUAUGGGUUGUAAACUGCUUUUAUCUGGGGAUAAACCUACUUACGUGUAAGUAGCUGAAGUUACCAGAAGAAUAAGCACCGGCUAACUCCGUGCCAGCAGCCGCGGUAAUACGGAGGGUGCAAGCGUUAUCCGGAUUUAUUGGGUUUAAAGGGUCCGUAGGCGGACUGAUAAGUCAGUGGUGAAAUCCGACAGCUUAACUGUCGAACUGCCAUUGAUACUGUUAGUCUUGAGUAAGGUUGAAGUGGCUGGAAUAAGUAGUGUAGCGGUGAAAUGCAUAGAUAUUACUUAGAACACCAAUUGCGAAGGCAGGUCACUAAGUCUUAACUGACGCUGAUGGACGAAAGCGUGGGGAGCGAACAGGAUUAGAAACCCCAGUAGUCCCAUGA
Molecule: ribosomal RNA, 469 nt
Filed under: uncultured organism
Description: partial 16S ribosomal RNA
Rfam family: Bacterial small subunit ribosomal RNA
Source: RNAcentral